UCUCUGCAAGGCGUGCGGGCUGGUUGGAUUUAAAUGCAUUAGAAAUGGGCUUUUUGUGAUGAUUUCUGCCACAAAGCCUAAGUAAGGUUUGAGUUUCCUGGCACUCUGUGCUUCCUUCAUAACAUAUUUUGCUAAAGCCUUAAACUACUAUUCUCAUUGGGAAGAUCAGCACUUUGCACAGAAAAAGUGGUGAGUUUCGACAGAUGGCGAAAAGAGUGUCUAUUCAUGAUGAUGUGUGAGAAAUAUGACGCAAAAGUUAUUUGUAAAUAUCAUAACAUCUCCGUUUGAGCCUUCUACUUUAUUGGUUUUUUAGCAUUUGAUGCAUCAUGAACUAUGACAGUUCUGUAACUAGUAAGUAAUUGGAGUAAUAAGAAUAUGCUUUAUCACUCAACUGAUUAAAUUUAGCAUAUAAACAAAAAAAACAGUGAAAAUAAAACUAAGGCCUAUUACAGUCUAUUCUCACUCUGCUUGUUGUGUGUAUUAAUGAUAAAGAUUCUAUCGAAUUCUGAAAAUUUUCUGCAACUGAAGUACUGAUUGAAGUACUGAACACAUUAAUCUCGACCUCUUUUGAGCCUAUCAGCAGGCUGCAGAGGUGCUAAAACCAUUAACUGAAACUUGGAGAACGGCAACUGCUGUAAGGGCAAAGUGUUACCUUCAUUGUUUGUUACGAUCAACAUUACCAUUCCUCAUCUAUAACACACGAUUCUUCUGAUUCAAACUAUCCAUGUGUUAAUUAGUUGUUAAGAAAAUAGAACAGUUUGAGCAUAAGGCUUAGUUUAUUUACACACAGUAUUCUGUAGAAAAGAAGACCCAUAAUGUAUUUAGCAUUGGAUUAGAAGGUAAUUAAUAUAAAUUAUUUUGUGAUAAGAUUCUCUAGUUGCUUGUGCCAUGGUAUUUUUGGAAAUUUGUAUUUGAUAAUUCUUCCGAAGAACCGGAAGCGAAGCGCUAUGCCGGGGCGGGGGGACGGGAAAAGAAACGGCUCCGAAGGAAAAAAUGGAGAUUCCCAAUGCUUCUCCACACCCAACGAGAUGUGCCAAUCUUGGAAUGCUUUACUUCUUCCAAAUAACACAAUGAAAAAAUGAUAGUAGAUAAUACAAAUGAUGAAUAUAUGGUUCGGAAAAAAACGUUAUAAACCGAUCAACUGAACCGGAAGAAAACGAUUUGUUUGGUUUGGUUUCAUUUAUGAAAAACAAUAAAAAAG
RNAcentral lists this long non-coding RNA (1201 nucleotides) under Trifolium pratense (red clover). RNAcentral's name for it is "long non-coding RNA (TPRA_LNC005478)". The record is from RNAcentral. Lineage: Eukaryota; Viridiplantae; Streptophyta; Magnoliopsida; Fabales; Fabaceae.